This is a long non-coding RNA of Oenanthe melanoleuca, 697 nucleotides long. RefSeq lists it as uncharacterized. The record is from RefSeq and is a predicted model, not a curated record. The transcript has 3 exons. Lineage: Eukaryota; Metazoa; Chordata; Aves; Passeriformes; Muscicapidae.
UAAACCGGGAAUAAACCUGGAACGGGAUCGGGAUAAACCGGGGAUAAAGCUGGGAUAGAACCGGGAUGGGAUCGGGGAUAGACCGUGCUGGACGAUUGUCUGAGCCAGCAGGUGAGAAACGGGUUAAUAAACACGGGAUAGGAACGGGAUAGGACCGGGAUAAAGCUGCGAUGGGAUCCGGAUAAACCGGGGAUAAAGCUGGGAUAGAACCGGGAUGGGAUCGGGAUAGACCGUGCUGGACGAUUGCCUGAGCCAGCAGGUGAGGGGUUAAUAAACCUGGGAUAGAACCGGGACAGAACCGGGAUAAAGCCGGGAUGGGAUCCGGAUAAACCGGGGAUAAAGCUGGGAUAGAACCGGGAUGGGAUCGGGAUAGACCGUGCUGGACGAUUGCCUGAGCCAGCAGGAGCUGCUGGGGGAGCCGGGGGACCCCCCCGAGCUGGGGCUGCACCUCCCGUUCGUGGGGUACUCGUACGCCCGCGGGGACCGCGAGGACGAGGAAGAAGAGGAGGAAGAUGAGGAUGAGGAUGAGGAGUGGGACCAGGACGCGGCCAUGGAGCUGGAGGGGGAGUGGGGGACCCCCCCCGAAUCGGGGACCCCCCCGGGCAGCGGGACCCCCUUGGCCAUAGGGACCCCCCCGCGAAGGGGGACGCCCCCCCCGCCCCCCCCAUCCCAGGGCGCCCCCACCCCCCCGGGGGCC